Molecule: transfer RNA, 59 nt
Filed under: Clostridia bacterium
Lineage: Bacteria; Bacillati; Bacillota; Clostridia
Also listed under: 1 other name
Description: tRNA-OTHER
Rfam family: tRNA
About the family: Transfer RNA (tRNA) molecules are approximately 80 nucleotides in length. Their secondary structure includes four short double-helical elements and three loops (D, anti-codon, and T loops).
Source: RNAcentral
GAACUGGUAGCUCAGUUGGCAAGAGACUUGGGUCGGUGGUUCGAGUCCACCUCAGUUCC